UUGCUUUUCGGCUCCUUAGUCAGACUUGCAAUGGUGCUUCACAUUAUAGGCUGAAAAGGAGCUUGGUCGAGACAUUACAUACAGAAGGUAUGAAUCCGAUAGAGAAGCAGAGGCUGCAAGACUUGGUAUUUGUCCAUUGUAAUUUGCAAUUACAAGCUUUUGAUCCAGAUGGAAGCAAUGACAAUACAGACUAUGUUGUUGACCCCAUGGAUGAGUGGAUAGUCAGAAAAGAGCCCAAUUUGGUGCAUGAAAACACUCAACUUACAUGGAUGGACUUGGAACUUGCAAGCAGAAAUGGA
This 299-nucleotide unclassified non-coding RNA is filed under the name Hevea brasiliensis (rubber tree). Lineage: Eukaryota; Viridiplantae; Streptophyta; Magnoliopsida; Malpighiales; Euphorbiaceae. The record is from RNAcentral.